UAUCUGUGGGGAUGGAGUCUAGC
Molecule: unclassified non-coding RNA, 23 nt
Filed under: Mus musculus (house mouse)
Lineage: Eukaryota; Metazoa; Chordata; Mammalia; Rodentia; Muridae
Description: oocyte_clustered_small_RNA4883
Source: RNAcentral